This 64-nucleotide transfer RNA is filed under the name Platypus contaminatus. RNAcentral describes it as "tRNA-His". Lineage: Eukaryota; Metazoa; Arthropoda; Insecta; Coleoptera; Curculionidae. The record is from RNAcentral.
GUUCAAGUAGUUUAAUUUUAAAAUUUUAGUUUGUGAUACUGAAGAUAUAGUAGUGUUUUGGACA